AAGAAGCGACUAAAUAGGCCUCUCCACCAAUCGGAAUCCUGCUUUCUCAAGACGCACAGUCUUUCUCCCCUAACCCUAACACCCAACCAGCAGUCUAGCGUUUCUCUGUCUCCAAGGCAACCCAGCUUGGCAGUCUGGAGGUGGCGCAGCCACUUCUGGGUGCUGUAAUGUCAAAGAAGCAGAGAGGCAGGAGGUGCUCUUGUCAGUAAAACGGAGUUUGUUAGCAGAAACGCCUGAACCAAGGAAUGGUUUGAGAGACUGAAAACGCUUUGCAGAUAUUCUUGGGGUGUUAGGAUCUUGUUAGAAAAGAGGGAGAAGACAAGGUAGGGCGUGAAAGUUUAUGGGAAUUGUAGUUUUGUGUUCUGUGGCGGUCUGGAGACGGAAAUCAUGAGACUGCCGCCUAGUGGCAGAUAUGAGGACAUCAGGCUCUGCAUUUAACCUGCUGUUUUUCCCAAGCCAGGGUUUCAAGGUCAACUAAAAAGGCUGAUUCCCACCAGGAUUCUCAUGACCUUCAUAAGAGCACCGGCAAGGUGUAACAUGGAUUGGAGAAGAGGAGAUUUUAAGUAUGCCAUAUGUAUGCAGUACCAACAGAGACCAGAAGAGGGCGGCAGACCCCCUGUAACUAGAGUUACUGACAGUUGGGAGCUGUCAUGUGGAUGAUGGAAACUGAACUUGGGUCUUUUGCAAGAGGAGCCGGUGGUCUUAACUGCUGAGCCAUCCUCUUGUUUUCGAGACAAAUUUUCAUGUAUUCCAUGUUGGCUUGAAACUCACUAUGCAGUCAAAAAUGGCUCUCAACUCCUGAUUCUGCGUAUCCACUGUUUAGGGGUGCAGGAAUAUGGGUCCAUUUUCUCUGCCAAUGAAAAUAUUAAAAGACAGGGAAUAGGCAGAGCAGUGGUGUUGCUUGCCUCCUAUCACACCACUAAGGAGGCAGAGGCAGAUAGAUCGCUGUGAGUUCAAGGCUAGCCUGUUCUACACAGUGAGUCCAGGACAGCCAAGGAUACACAGAGAAACCCUGUCUUGAAAAAACAAAAAGAGGAGGGGGAGCAGGAAAAGGUGUUACCAGACAUCAUGGGGAGUCUCAGCAGAGCCAUCAUGUGAUACUGGAGAACUCAGGGUUCAUCUUGGAGCCCUUAUUCUCAUUAAUAACAUAAGUUAAGGAGGGUCACAAAUGGACGCUCAAGAGCAAAGAAGUGACACCGGCAGAAGCUUUGGGACCAUUUAUUUCAGUUCAAAAAGAAAACACCAGGACAGGUGAGGUCAGAGGGCGAAGAAGGGAAAGACAAGAGCUACCCUGCUGCAGUAGAGGAGAAAGAGGCUUCAGAAAGAGAGUAAGGAAGCCCACCGUGUCAGGGAGUUUUAAAGCACACUCAGAUUUGGCCAACAUCUGAAAGCAAACGGAGACAGACAGGGCUUUCUGCUCUUGGGUUUUUAUUGGAGGACCAGCAAGAGGGCUUAGUUGUUAAAGAUACUCACUGCUAAACCGAUGAUGCCCUCAACACACAGAGAAUCACAUGGUACUCAUUGAAUACACACUGAAUCAAAAUAUAACAAGUUUUAUUUGAAAAUUAGAGAUGAUUCUCAGCACCCCUCCACCCUGUGUUAUUGGCUGUUUUGUGAAUGUAAGAAACAAACAUUUAGCUAUUAAGUAGUGUACAAUAAAGAAAGGUUGAAAAUGGCCCAGAAGGGAAGGCGUUGGGGAAACCCCUGGGAAGGCUCACUCAGCUCUUCUGCUGGCUACUGUCACACUGCACAGUCCUCAGACAGGCUUCCUGCUGGGCCUCUCGACACACUCGUCACUCUGCCAGUUGACAGGCCAGGGUAUGAAGAAGAGCUUCCUCGGGAUGUGAAGUGCUCGGGAGAACAGAGGGCUUGUGUGGGUUGCGUGAAACACAGUGGCUUCACUGGAAAGAACAGCAGGGGUCGUCUCUAUGGAAGAGGAGAAAGGGGGGAAGUCACAGUUGGACACUUACUUACAUAUUCAUAUAUUCUCAGACUCCUUGCCUCAUAGCCCCCCAACAACCCCACAGGACUCUACUCGAGGCUUCCGAGAUCGUACUUCUCACCUCCAGCUGGGACUUGGCUCCUCAGAACCAUGGUCCACCCACUUUGUUCUUCCUCCCCCAGACCAUUCCAGCUGCUGCUGUUGCUUGCCUCAGACCUCACGAGGAUUCAUGGGGAUGGGGAGCCUUGCAACCAGGGGAGCAGGCCUGGAGCAAGAAUGAGGUCAAGGUGUGUCCAGACCCAAGAAAUCUCGUCUUGAGAUGCAGCAGUAGCCAGUCUCAGGAGUAGCCUGCACGUCCUAGCUCACAUAGCCUGUGCGGACCCUACCUCUGCCACCCUUGAAGUGGUCAUGUAACCUGGCAGCCAGGUUAGAGGUUAAACUUCCUCCACCCUUAAGGGGUCUCACAAAAUCAAAACAGGCCUUGGACCUUCAAAAGCUGCCUAUCUCGCCCUUGAACUUCUGAUCUUCCUGAGUGCUAGGGCUACAGGUGUAAGCCACCGCUCCCAUUGGGUGUGGCCCUAGGGUACUGGUGAAGCACGUCACAAGGUUCUUACUAGAGUGCUGGCACUGCAGGUCUCUACCACCUCACUCAGCUUGCCAGCUGCCCCUGGGACACAUUUGGUCCCAUUCCCCCUUCUAUCUCAACGCCCAGAAGAUGACUCAGCACAGCAAAUGGAACCUGAAGUAGUGUCUGUUGCUCGAGUAUGUGAUGUCAUGUGGUCGUGCUGCCAACGAUGGUGGAGUUCAGGCAUGUGGGGUUCGGUGACAUCUCUUCCAACCCAAAAAGCUAUGUAUAUCGAAAACCAAAAAUGAUGAAGCCACCAACUCACCAUUCAGGACUUGGAGGCUCAGCAGACCUAAGUCUCCAUUUCUCUGCCUUGUAUUCCCAUUUUUCCCUUGCACAACGUGGAUCUUUCUGGACUUACUACACUCCAAGAGCAAAGGAGGUGGAGAUGUACACUCUGACCCAAGCCAGUCAACCAACCAGGUAUUUCUGCACUUGUGGACAUAGACAGAAACCCAGUCCCUGCUAUAGAGGAACACACAGAUAACUUCAGAGCAAUAAAAGACAGGGUAGAAGACUCACCAAGAGGGACACUCUGAACCCCCUUAGAUCUGCUGGGCUCCUCAGAGUCCCUUCUCUAUCCAAUAAACUGUAACAUCUGCCAUUAAA
Molecule: non-coding RNA, 3176 nt
Organism: Rattus norvegicus (Norway rat)
Lineage: Eukaryota; Metazoa; Chordata; Mammalia; Rodentia; Muridae
Source: RefSeq, a predicted model, not a curated record